UUAGCCAGGAUGAGGCGCUAGAGGAGC
Molecule: non-coding RNA, 27 nt
Filed under: Homo sapiens (human)
Lineage: Eukaryota; Metazoa; Chordata; Mammalia; Primates; Hominidae
Source: RNAcentral